Molecule: ribosomal RNA, 740 nt
Filed under: Sphingobacterium sp. C_OB2.16
Lineage: Bacteria; Pseudomonadati; Bacteroidota; Sphingobacteriia; Sphingobacteriales; Sphingobacteriaceae
Description: bacterial SSU rRNA
Rfam family: Bacterial small subunit ribosomal RNA
Source: RNAcentral
AGAGUUUGAUCCUGGCUCAGGAUGAACGCUAGCGGCAGGCCUAAUACAUGCAAGUCGGACGGGAUCCAUUAGUAGCUUGCUACUGAUGGUGAGAGUGGCGCACGGGUGCGUAACGCGUGAGCAACCUACCCAUAUCAGGGGGAUAGCCCGAAGAAAUUCGGAUUAACACCGCAUAAUACAAGAGAUCCGCAUGGAUUUUUUGUUAAAUAUUUAUAGGAUAUGGAUGGGCUCGCGUGACAUUAGCUAGUUGGAGAGGUAACGGCUCACCAAGGCUACGAUGUCUAGGGGCUCUGAGAGGAGAAUCCCCCACACUGGUACUGAGACACGGACCAGACUCCUACGGGAGGCAGCAGUAAGGAAUAUUGGUCAAUGGGGGCAACCCUGAACCAGCCAUGCCGCGUGCAGGAUGACUGCCCUAUGGGUUGUAAACUGCUUUUGUUAGGGAAUAAACCUUCUUACGAGUAAGAAGCUGAAUGCACCUAAAGAAUAAGGAUCGGCUAACUCCGUGCCAGCAGCCGCGGUAAUACGGAGGAUCCGAGCGUUAUCCGGAUUUAUUGGGUUUAAAGGGUGCGUAGGCGGCACUUUAAGUCAGGGGUGAAAGACGGCAGCUUAACUGUCGCAGUGCCCUUGAUACUGAAGUGCUUGAAUGCGGUUGAAGACGGCGGAAUGAGACAAGUAGCGGUGAAAUGCAUAGAUAUGUCUCAGAACACCGAUUGCGAAGGCAGCUGUCUAAGCCGUUA